AUUGAACGCUGGCGGCAGGCCUAACACAUGCAAGUCGAGCGGAUGAAGGGAGCUUGCUCCUGGAUUCAGCGGCGGACGGGUGAGUAAUGCCUAGGAAUCUGCCUGGGAGUGGGGGAUAACGUCCGGAAACGGGCGCUAAUACCGCAUACGUCCUGAGGGAGAAAGUGGGGGAUCUUCGGACCUCACGCUAUCAGAUGAGCCUAGGUCGGAUUAGCUAGUUGGUGGGGUAAAGGCCUACCAAGGCGAGGAUCCGUAACUGGUCUGAGAGGAUGAUCAGUCACACUGGAGCUGGGACACGGUCCAGGCUCCUACGGGAGGCAGCAGUGGGGAAUGUUGGACAGUGGGCGGAAGCCUGGUCCAGCCAUGCCGCGUGUGUGAAGAAGGUCUUCGGAUUGUAAAGCACUUUAAGUUGUGAGGAAGGGCAGUAAGUUGAUACCUUGCUGUUUUGACGUUACCAACAGAAUAAGCACCGGCUAACUUCGUG
This 484-nucleotide ribosomal RNA is filed under the name uncultured bacterium. RNAcentral's name for it is "partial 16S ribosomal RNA". It matches the Rfam family "Bacterial small subunit ribosomal RNA", at positions 30 to 507 of the family's 1533-position model. The record is from RNAcentral.